UACGGGGGGGGCAAGCGUUGUUCGGAAUUACUGGGCGUAAAGGGCGCGUAGGCGGCCGCCUAAGUCAGACGUGAAAUCCCUCGGCUCAACCGGGGAACGGCCGCGGAUACUGGAGGUCUCGAGGGGGGUAGGGGCAUGCGGAACUACGGGUGGAGCGGUGAAAUGCGUUGAUAUCCGUAGGAACUCCGGUGGCGAAGGCGGCGUGCUGGACCCCUUCUGACGCUGAGGCGCGAAAGCCAGGGGAGCGAACGGG
RNAcentral lists this ribosomal RNA (253 nucleotides) under uncultured bacterium. RNAcentral describes it as "partial 16S ribosomal RNA". It matches the Rfam family "Bacterial small subunit ribosomal RNA", at positions 524 to 776 of the family's 1533-position model. The record is from RNAcentral.